GGCAGUCUGCGGCUUGGCUUGCUAGAGUUGUGAGAGACCUAGGCUUCUUGUACUCUGUGGCUUCACCAUCCUGGGGGGUGUCGCCUUACCCACAAACUGCUCCAUCACAUCCACAUUCUAGGCAAAAAGAAGGGGGAGAGGAGGAAGGGAAGGACAUGAUCCUUGUAGUAAGAGCACAUCUUGGAGGUGCACAUAUCCCUUCUGCUCACACCCUGUUAGCCAGAACCUAGUUGUGUGGUUACGCCUCACUGCAAAGGAAGAUGGGAGAUGUGUAGUUUUGUUCUGGAUGGCCAGUAUCAAGUAAAUGAUCCAAGUUAUGGAUUAUUCCACGGAAAGGGAGAAUAGAUAUCCGUGAACAACUUGCCAUUCCUACCACAGGCUGAUUUUAUCUAAUGUAGUUCAGAUGCAUGUACUCAAGUAGGCAGAGAGGCAGAUAGUCUAGUCUGGUUGAAUAGAAAGGAUUUACUUGAACACAUGUUUCAGUAUUGGCUAAAAGCCACAGCCUGCAAUGCACCAAAAGUAGCAUUGUCUUCAAAUACAAAGAUCAGUAACUGUUCUUAUUAGUUUGGUUUGGUCAUUACGAAUCUUCUAGCACCUCCCAAGAGUAAAGGGAAUGGUCAGUUGCAUAGGCUGGUGCAUCACGACCUUAAGAGCAAUAGUGACGUGAAGGAGGAGAAACAGCAUUUCAGAACUGUGUUUGAUCUCAGUUACUCCCUUACUUGAAGAAGGCUUCGAUGAUUCCUCAUGGAGAAAUCCCAGAUACUUCUGCACAUGAUUCAGAGGUCCCUUACAACUGGCUUCAGCCUGCCUUCCAAGCCCUGUCUCUCGCCUCUCCCUUCCUUCACACUGUGCUUCAGCGAGAUGCUGUGUUUUUUGCAAAUGGACGGUUUGGGCAACUCUUUGUGGAGCAAGUCUAUCGGUGCCAUUUUCCCAACAACAUGGAUUCACUUCAUGUCUCUGAGUCACAUUUUGGGUCUCGUUCUCUCACUCAGGCUGGAGUGUGGUGGCGUGAUCUUGGUUCACUGCAACCUCUGCUUCCUGGGCUCAUGCGAUUCUCCUGCCUCAGCCUCCUGAGUAGUUACAACUACAGGUACGUGCCACCAGGCCUGGCUAAUUUUUGUAUUGUUUUUGUAGAGGCAGGGUUUUGCCAUAUUGCCCAGGCUGGUCUUGGACUCCUGGGCUCAACCAAUCUGACUUACUUUUGUAAAAUGCAAUAAAAUUAAUGACCUGGGAAAAUAAAAUAGGUAAAACAGGUAUAUAAAGUACAUUCCCAAUUUUUAAAUUAUUAGAUUCAAUAAACAUAAAAUUACUUAUUUGU
Homo sapiens (human) is the source of this 1318-nucleotide long non-coding RNA. Lineage: Eukaryota; Metazoa; Chordata; Mammalia; Primates; Hominidae. The record is from Ensembl.